This 2901-nucleotide ribosomal RNA is filed under the name Escherichia coli. Its description in RNAcentral is "23S ribosomal RNA". It matches the Rfam family "Bacterial large subunit ribosomal RNA". Lineage: Bacteria; Pseudomonadati; Pseudomonadota; Gammaproteobacteria; Enterobacterales; Enterobacteriaceae. The record is from RNAcentral.
UUAAGCGACUAAGCGUACACGGUGGAUGCCCUGGCAGUCAGAGGCGAUGAAGGACGUGCUAAUCUGCGAUAAGCGUCGGUAAGGUGAUAUGAACCGUUAUAACCGGCGAUUUCCGAAUGGGGAAACCCAGUGUGUUUCGACACACUAUCAUUAACUGAAUCCAUAGGUUAAUGAGGCGAACCGGGGGAACUGAAACAUCUAAGUACCCCGAGGAAAAGAAAUCAACCGAGAUUCCCCCAGUAGCGGCGAGCGAACGGGGAGCAGCCCAGAGCCUGAAUCAGUGUGUGUGUUAGUGGAAGCGUCUGGAAAGGCGCGCGAUACAGGGUGACAGCCCCGUACACAAAAAUGCACAUGCUGUGAGCUCGAUGAGUAGGGCGGGACACGUGGUAUCCUGUCUGAAUAUGGGGGGACCAUCCUCCAAGGCUAAAUACUCCUGACUGACCGAUAGUGAACCAGUACCGUGAGGGAAAGGCGAAAAGAACCCCGGCGAGGGGAGUGAAAAAGAACCUGAAACCGUGUACGUACAAGCAGUGGGAGCACGCUUAGGCGUGUGACUGCGUACCUUUUGUAUAAUGGGUCAGCGACUUAUAUUCUGUAGCAAGGUUAACCGAAUAGGGGAGCCGAAGGGAAACCGAGUCUUAACUGGGCGUUAAGUUGCAGGGUAUAGACCCGAAACCCGGUGAUCUAGCCAUGGGCAGGUUGAAGGUUGGGUAACACUAACUGGAGGACCGAACCGACUAAUGUUGAAAAAUUAGCGGAUGACUUGUGGCUGGGGGUGAAAGGCCAAUCAAACCGGGAGAUAGCUGGUUCUCCCCGAAAGCUAUUUAGGUAGCGCCUCGUGAAUUCAUCUCCGGGGGUAGAGCACUGUUUCGGCAAGGGGGUCAUCCCGACUUACCAACCCGAUGCAAACUGCGAAUACCGGAGAAUGUUAUCACGGGAGACACACGGCGGGUGCUAACGUCCGUCGUGAAGAGGGAAACAACCCAGACCGCCAGCUAAGGUCCCAAAGUCAUGGUUAAGUGGGAAACGAUGUGGGAAGGCCCAGACAGCCAGGAUGUUGGCUUAGAAGCAGCCAUCAUUUAAAGAAAGCGUAAUAGCUCACUGGUCGAGUCGGCCUGCGCGGAAGAUGUAACGGGGCUAAACCAUGCACCGAAGCUGCGGCAGCGACGCUUAUGCGUUGUUGGGUAGGGGAGCGUUCUGUAAGCCUGUGAAGGUGUACUGUGAGGUAUGCUGGAGGUAUCAGAAGUGCGAAUGCUGACAUAAGUAACGAUAAAGCGGGUGAAAAGCCCGCUCGCCGGAAGACCAAGGGUUCCUGUCCAACGUUAAUCGGGGCAGGGUGAGUCGACCCCUAAGGCGAGGCCGAAAGGCGUAGUCGAUGGGAAACAGGUUAAUAUUCCUGUACUUGGUGUUACUGCGAAGGGGGGACGGAGAAGGCUAUGUUGGCCGGGCGACGGUUGUCCCGGUUUAAGCGUGUAGGCUGGUUUUCCAGGCAAAUCCGGAAAAUCAAGGCUGAGGCGUGAUGACGAGGCACUACGGUGCUGAAGCAACAAAUGCCCUGCUUCCAGGAAAAGCCUCUAAGCAUCAGGUAACAUCAAAUCGUACCCCAAACCGACACAGGUGGUCAGGUAGAGAAUACCAAGGCGCUUGAGAGAACUCGGGUGAAGGAACUAGGCAAAAUGGUGCCGUAACUUCGGGAGAAGGCACGCUGAUAUGUAGGUGAAGUCCCUCGCGGAUGGAGCUGAAAUCAGUCGAAGAUACCAGCUGGCUGCAACUGUUUAUUAAAAACACAGCACUGUGCAAACACGAAAGUGGACGUAUACGGUGUGACGCCUGCCCGGUGCCGGAAGGUUAAUUGAUGGGGUCAGCGCAAGCGAAGCUCUUGAUCGAAGCCCCGGUAAACGGCGGCCGUAACUAUAACGGUCCUAAGGUAGCGAAAUUCCUUGUCGGGUAAGUUCCGACCUGCACGAAUGGCGUAAUGAUGGCCGGGCUGUCUCCACCCGAGACUCAGUGAAAUUGAACUCGCUGUGAAGAUGCAGUGUACCCGCGGCAAGACGGAAAGACCCCGUGAACCUUUACUAUAGCUUGACACUGAACAUUGAGCCUUGAUGUGUAGGAUAGGUGGGAGGCUUUGAAGUGUGGACGCCAGUCUGCAUGGAGCCGACCUUGAAAUACCACCCUUUAAUGUUUGAUGUUCUAACGUUGACCCGUGAUCCGGGUUGCGGACAGUGUCUGGUGGGUAGUUUGACUGGGGCGGUCUCCUCCUAAAGAGUAACGGAGGAGCACGAAGGUUGGCUAAUCCUGGUCGGACAUCAGGAGGUUAGUGCAAUGGCAUAAGCCAGCUUGACUGCGAGCGUGACGGCGCGAGCAGGUGCGAAAGCAGGUCAUAGUGAUCCGGUGGUUCUGAAUGGAAGGGCCAUCGCUCAACGGAUAAAAGGUACUCCGGGGAUAACAGGCUGAUACCGCCCAAGAGUUCAUAUCGACGGCGGUGUUUGGCACCUCGAUGUCGGCUCAUCACAUCCUGGGGCUGAAGUAGGUCCCAAGGGUAUGGCUGUUCGCCAUUUAAAGUGGUACGCGAGCUGGGUUUAGAACGUCGUGAGACAGUUCGGUCCCUAUCUGCCGUGGGCGCUGGAGAACUGAGGGGGGCUGCUCCUAGUACGAGAGGACCGGAGUGGACGCAUCACUGGUGUUCGGGUUGUCAUGCCAAUGGCACUGCCCGGUAGCUAAAUGCGGAAGAGAUAAGUGCUGAAAGCAUCUAAGCACGAAACUUGCCCCGAGAUGAGUUCUCCCUGACUCCUUGAGAGUCCUGAAGGAACGUUGAAGACGACGACGUUGAUAGGCCGGGUGUGUAAGCGCAGCGAUGCGUUGAGCUAACCGGUACUAAUGAACCGUGAGGCUUAACCU